AGCAGCCGCGGUAAUUCCAGCUCCAAUAGCGUAUAUUAAAGUUGUUGCAGUUAAAAAGCUCGUAGUUGAAUUUCGGGGUUAGUAGGCUGGUCGUGCCACUGGUACGUACUGGUCUCACUGACUCCUCCUUCCUGAUGAACUGUAAUGCCAUUAAUUUGGUGUUGCAGGGAAACUGGACUGUUACUUUGAAAAAUUAGAGUGUUUAAAGCAAGCUAACGCUUGAAUACAUUAGCAUGGAAUAAUGAAAUAGGACGUUCGAUCCUAUUUUGUUGGUUUCUAGGAUUGACGUAAUGAUUAAUAGGGAUAGUUGGGGGCAUUAGUAUUCAAUUGUCAGAGGUG
Molecule: ribosomal RNA, 339 nt
Filed under: uncultured Glomus
Lineage: Eukaryota; Fungi; Glomeromycota; Glomeromycetes; Glomerales; Glomeraceae
Description: SSU rRNA
Rfam family: Eukaryotic small subunit ribosomal RNA
Source: RNAcentral